UACGUAGGGUGCAAGCGUUAUCCGGAUUCACUGGGUUUAAAGGGUGCGUAGGUGGGCAGUUAAGUCAGUGGUGAAAUCUCUGGGCUUAACUCAGAAACUGCCAUUGAUACUAUCUGUCUUGAAUACCGUGGAGGUCAGCGGAAUAUGUCAUGUAGCGGUGAAAUGCUUAGAUAUGACAUAGAACACCAAUUGCGGAGGCAGCUGGCUACACGAAUAUUGACACUGAUGCACGAAAGCGUGGGGAUCAAACAGG
RNAcentral lists this ribosomal RNA (253 nucleotides) under uncultured bacterium. Its description in RNAcentral is "partial 16S ribosomal RNA". It matches the Rfam family "Bacterial small subunit ribosomal RNA", at positions 524 to 776 of the family's 1533-position model. The record is from RNAcentral.